GCCAGAGUAGCUCAGAUGGUUAGAGCGCCGCACUCAUAACGCGGAGGUCGGCGGUUCAAUCCCGCCCUCUGGUACCA
Molecule: transfer RNA, 77 nt
Filed under: Opitutia bacterium
Lineage: Bacteria; Pseudomonadati; Verrucomicrobiota; Opitutia
Description: tRNA-Met
Rfam family: tRNA
About the family: Transfer RNA (tRNA) molecules are approximately 80 nucleotides in length. Their secondary structure includes four short double-helical elements and three loops (D, anti-codon, and T loops). Further hydrogen bonds mediate the characteristic L-shaped molecular structure. tRNAs have two regions of fundamental functional importance: the anti-codon, which is responsible for specific mRNA codon recognition, and the 3' end, to which the tRNAs corresponding amino acid is attached (by aminoacyl-tRNA synthetases). tRNAs cope with the degeneracy of the genetic code in two manners: having more than one tRNA (with a specific anti-codon) for a particular amino acid; and 'wobble' base-pairing, i.e. permitting non-standard base-pairing at the 3rd anti-codon position.
Source: RNAcentral